AAAAAUGUAGGUAUAAGUAACGAUAGAGGGGGUGAGAAACCCCCUCGCCGAAAGACUAAGGUUUCCUGAUCAACGCUAAUCGGAUCAGGGUUAGUCGGGUCCUAAGGCUCAGCCGAAUGGUGAGGUCGAUGGUAGAACAGGUUAAUAUUCCCGUACUACCUUUAGGAGUGAUGUGGAGACGGAGGAGUGACAGCGCCGCCACCUGACGGAAUAGGUGGUUGAAGGGUGUAGAUGUUGAUCAUUGUAGGCAAAUCCGCAGUGAGAGUCGAACCUGAUAGUAUGGAGCGUCUUUUAGACAAUCCAAUAGUGCGUGUAAACAUACUUCCAAGAAAAUCCGCUAAACUUAAUCCUAAAGGUACCCGUACCGUAAACGGACACACGUAGUCGGGUAGAAUAUACUAAGGCGCUUGAGUGAAUCACGGUUAAGGAACUAGGCAAAUUGACCCUGUAACUUCGGGAUAAAGGGUCCCCACUGCAAGGUGGGGCGCAGAGAAUAGGUCCAGGCAACUGUUUAACAAAAACACAGGGCUGUGCAAAAUUGAAAGAUCACGUAUACAGCCUGACACCUGCCCGGUGCUGGAAGGUUAAGAGGAGAUGUCAUCGCAAGAGAAGCAUUGAAUUGAAGCCCCAGUAAACGGCGGCCGUAACAAUAACGGUCCUAAGGUAGCGAAAUUCCUUGUCGGGUAAGUUCCGACCUGCACGAAUGGUGUAAUGAUCUGGACACUGUCUCAACCGUGAGCUCAGUGAAAUUGUAGUAUCGGUGAAGAUGCCGAUUACCCGCGAUGGGACGAAAAGACCCCGUGAACCUUUACUAUAGCUUAACAUUGAAUUUGGGUAAUUGAUGUGUAGGAUAGGUCGGAGACUUUGAAGUGGGUACGCUAGUAUCUGUGGAGUCGCUGUUGAAAUACGACCCUCUAAUUAUUUGAGUUCUAACUCGUUGUUACGAGGACACUGUUUGGUGGGUAGUUUGACUGGGGUGGUCGCCUCCAAAAGUGUAACGGAGGCUUCUAAAGGUACCCUCAGGACGAUUGGUAACCGUCCGUAGAGUGUAAUGGCAUAAGGGUGCUUGACUGGGAGACAAACAAGUCGAUCAGGUAGGAAACUAGAGCAUAGUGAUCCGGUGUUUCUGUAUGGAAAGGACAUCGCUCAAAGGAUAAAAGGUACUCCGGGGAUAACAGGCUGAUCCCUCCCAAGAGCUCAUAUCGACGGAGGGGUUUGGCACCUCGAUGUCGGCUCGUCACAUCCUGGGGCUGGAGAAGGUCCCAAGGGUUGGGCUGUUCGCCCAUUAAAGUGGCACGCGAGCUGGGUUCAGAACGUCGUGAGACAGUUCGGUCUCUAUCUAUCGUGGGCGUAUGAAAUUUGCGUGGCUCUGACACUAGUACGAGAGGACCGUGUUGGACUGACCGCUGGUCUACCAGUUGUGCCGCCAGGUGCAUUGCUGGGUAGCUAAGUCGGGAUUGGAUAAGUGCUGAAAGCAUCUAAGUACGAAGCCAGCCACAAGAUUAGAUUUCUUAGAGUCGUUGUAGACGACAACGUUGAUAGGAGGUAGGUGUAAAGGUGGAAACAUCAAAGCCGAGCCUUACUAAUUGCCU
Molecule: ribosomal RNA, 1592 nt
Filed under: metagenome
Description: bacterial LSU rRNA
Rfam family: Bacterial large subunit ribosomal RNA
Source: RNAcentral